AUGGUGGAUCAAACACCCUUUUAUGGUCGAGCACGGCGGGACGAACUUCCUUUCGAAUUUUUUUUUCUGUAUUUUAGGCUUGCUGAUGUGCCCCUACUACGCAAGCCUAAAAUUAGUUAUUUCCACCAAUAAAUAAAUGGCUUUUCAAAACCUGGAUAUGAUCAUUUUUUUCCAUAGAUGUUCCAAUACUGUUUGCAAGGCUUGCUGGCAAGAUGUUUUGUAGAGAUUGUAGGAAAAAUGUAUUUCGUGAAUUUAAGGAUCUAAAAGAACUUGAGUGCAUGAGAAGAGAAUCGCAUUGUACAAGCUGGUUUUGUGUAGCUGAUACAAGCUUCCAAUAUGAGGAUUCCAGGCUUCUUUGCAGGUGACUCUUGACACAAUCUAGACGGGUUGGCAACAAAACUAUGUUGACUUAGCAGGAACACACAGGCAUUAUGAAUGGGCUGUUCAUGGCAGACUUGUGGUUUAUCAUGAUGAUGAUUCCUUGGAAAAGGAUGGGCUUGAAUUAGAUGGAGAAUGUUUCCGUCCCCAAAAACAUGCAAAGAGUCCUAGAACUUGCCUGGUUGAAAAGGUUUCAGAGAAGGGACUGCACGUCAAAUCUUCUUUGACUAAAAUUUGAAAUGUUGUUUCGUCACUUGGCUAGUGAAGUAGGCAAUCUUGAGCGGCCGUUUCUAAGAGAAUUUUUUUUCUCGCUGUGUGGGUUUUAACGGUUGCCAUGUUUUAAGGAUGGGAUUUUCAAAUAACAAACGAAAAAACCUGGUUGAAUUAGCAGCUUUGCGUGGGUGUACAACCACACCAGAUUCAAAUCCCACUUUUCCUGGUUCAAAACCUGAUUUUUGUGAAACGAGAAGCUGAUGUUGGGUGGCCCGGAAUGAUGAGUAUACGGGUUCAUGAAAUUGUACUUUGAUGGAAUGGAAUGUAUGAUCAUCAUGUUCUACCUAUGGCAGGAGAAACAUGGCAGCUUUUAGAAAUACAGUGCCAUUAAGCAUUUCUAUCUUUUGAAAGAAGUUUUGACAAGCUGUAUUACUAAAUUUUUUGAGAGAAAUUUGAUAAUGGUCAAAUACAUAGUUUAAAAGAUGCUCUUUUGGGACUUCAUUAAGCAUUUCUAUGUUUUGAGAGAAGUUUUGCCAAGCUGUACUACUAAAUGUUAG
Molecule: long non-coding RNA, 1148 nt
Filed under: Helianthus annuus (common sunflower)
Lineage: Eukaryota; Viridiplantae; Streptophyta; Magnoliopsida; Asterales; Asteraceae
Source: RNAcentral